CGAACGGGUGAGUAAUACAUCGGAACGUGCCCUGUAGUGGGGGAUAACUAGUCGAAAGAUUAGCUAAUACCGCAUACGACCUGAGGGUGAAAGUGGGGGACCGCAAGGCCUCAUGCUAUAGGAGCGGCCGAUGUCUGAUUAGCUAGUUGGUGGGGUAAAGGCCCACCAAGGCGACGAUCAGUAGCUGGCCUGAGAGGACGAUCAGCCACACUGGGACUGAGACACGGCCCAG
Molecule: ribosomal RNA, 232 nt
Filed under: uncultured Burkholderiales bacterium
Lineage: Bacteria; Pseudomonadati; Pseudomonadota; Betaproteobacteria; Burkholderiales
Description: partial 16S ribosomal RNA
Rfam family: Bacterial small subunit ribosomal RNA
Source: RNAcentral